AGUGAACGCUGGCGGUAGGCCUAACACAUGCAAGUCGAACGGCAGCACAGUAAGAGCUUGCUCUUACGGGUGGCGAGUGGCGGACGGGUGAGGAAUACAUCGGAAUCUACUUUUUCGUGGGGGAUAACGUAGGGAAACUUACGCUAAUACCGCAUACGACCUACGGGUGAAAGCAGGGGAUCUUCUGACCUUGCGCGAUUGAAUGAGCCGAUGUCGGAUUAGCUAGUUGGCGGGGUAAAGGCCCACCAAGGCGACGAUCCGUAGCUGGUCUGAGAGGAUGAUCAGCCACACUGGAACUGAGACACGGUCCAGACUCCUACGGGAGGCAGCAGUGGGGAAUAUUGGACAAUGGGCGCAAGCAUGAUCCAGCCAUACCGCGUGGGUGAAGAAGGCCUUCGGGUUGUAAAGCCCUUUUGUUGGGAAAGAAAAGCAGCAGGUUAAUACCCCGCUGUUCUGACGGUACCCAAAGAAUAAGCACCGGCUAACUUCGUG
This 492-nucleotide ribosomal RNA is filed under the name uncultured bacterium. RNAcentral's name for it is "partial 16S ribosomal RNA". It matches the Rfam family "Bacterial small subunit ribosomal RNA", at positions 29 to 507 of the family's 1533-position model. The record is from RNAcentral.